AUUGAACGCUGGCGGCAGGCUUAACACAUGCAAGUCGAGCGGAGAUGAGGUGCUUGCACCUUAUCUUAGCGGCGGACGGGUGAGUAAUGCUUAGGAAUCUGCCUAUUAGUGGGGGACAACAUUCCGAAAGGAAUGCUAAUACCGCAUACGUCCUACGGGAGAAAGCAGGGGAUCUUCGGACCUUGCGCUAAUAGAUGAGCCUAAGUCGGAUUAGCUAGUCGGUGGGGUAAAGGCCUACCAAGGCGACGAUCUGUAGCGGGUAUGAGAUGAUGAUCCGCCAGACUGGGACUGAGACACGGCCCAGACUCCUACGGGAGGCAGCAGUGGGGAAUAUUGGACAAUGGGGGGAACCCUGAUCCAGCCAUGCCGCGUGUGUGAAGAAGGCCUUAUGGUUGUAAAGCACUUUAAGCGAGGAGGAGGCUACUGAGACUAAUACUCUUGGAUAGUGGACGUUACUCGCAGAAUAAGCACCGGCUAACUCUGUGCCAGCCGCCGCCGUAA
Molecule: ribosomal RNA, 501 nt
Filed under: uncultured bacterium
Lineage: Bacteria
Description: partial 16S ribosomal RNA
Rfam family: Bacterial small subunit ribosomal RNA
Source: RNAcentral